GUCGAGGGGCAGCAUAUGGAUUGCUUGCAAUCCAUGAUGGCGACCGGCGCACGGGUGCGUAACGCGUAUGUAACUUGCCUUAUGCAGGAGGAUAACCCGAAGAAAUUCGGCCUAAUACUCCAUAAGUGUCAGAGAGGCAUCUUUCGGGCAUGAAAGAUUUAUCGGCAUAAGAUAGACAUGCGUGACAUUAGCUAGUCGGUGAGGUAACGGCUCACCGAGGCGACGAUGUCUAGGGGUUCUGAGAGGAAGGUCCCCCACACUGGUACUGAGACACGGACCAGACUCCUACGGGAGGCAGCAGUGAGGAAUAUUGGUCAAUGGACGGAAGUCUGAACCAGCCAUGCCGCGUGCAGGAUGACGGCUCUAUGAGUUGUAAACUGCUUUUGUACGAGAAUAAUAGUUCUUACGUGUAGGGAUUUGAAUGUAUCGUACGAAUAAGGAUCGGCUAACUCCGUGCCAGCAGCCGCGGUAAUACGGAGGAUUCGAGCGUUAUCCGGAUUUAUUGGGUUUAAAGGGUGCGUAGGCUGUCGGAUAAGUUAGAGGUCAAAUGUCGGGGCUUAACCCCGUGCCUGCCUCUGAUACUGUUCGACUGGAGAGCGGAUGCAGCAGGCGGAAUGAGUAGUGUAGCGGUGAAAUGCUUAGAUAUUACUCAGAACACCGAUUGCGCAGGCAGCUUGCUAAUCCGCAUCUGACGCUGAUGCACGAAAGCGUGGGUAGCGAACAGGAUUAGAUACCCUGGUAGUCCACGCAGUAAACGAUGAUAACUCGUUGUCGGCGAUAUACAGUCGGU
Molecule: ribosomal RNA, 790 nt
Filed under: uncultured bacterium
Lineage: Bacteria
Description: bacterial SSU rRNA
Rfam family: Bacterial small subunit ribosomal RNA
Source: RNAcentral